UCCUCACUACUUUACUGUAGCCAUCUGGCCUUGCCCCAUCACAGCAGUUAAAGUAUUUGGUCAAGUAUGAAGUCAGGCUUUCAUUUGAACAAUGUCGCUUCUAGUCUUUCCUGUCUAGACAGUCUUCAGAAGGGGAAAAAAAUCCCUGUCUGACAGUCUUUUCGAUGGUACUAAAGCCAUAAUUGUCCUUUUUGGGGGAAAGAGAAGAAGUCAGCUGAGAUAUUCUGGAGCGACUGCUGCAGUUAUUCAAGUCUACUGCUGUUUCCUUGACAAAAGAAGAAAACAAACCAAGAAAAACCACAGAGGACAGAAAAGAACAGCAAAGAGAAAAUGCAGUGUCUGCCUCUGUAACCGCUUAUAUGCAGCCUCACUGCUGGAGGAGCACAGGCUUAGCACGUCUGAUCAGCCACUCCUGCCCCAGCAAACGUACCCUGCCUCAGCGGAGAAGGGUGAAUGAAGCACGGGUGCGAAGAGAGAAUUCAGGAUUCCUGACUCCCUGCCUAGUGGUGGCUGGGCCACCCAUGGGAACACCUGGGGCAGCUCCUGCUCAGGUCCCGGUGACGUUCGAUGACGCUGCGGUCUAUUUCUCUUAGGAGGAAUGGGCUCUCUUAGAGCAGGGGCAGAAGGCGCUGUGUCAGGACAUGAUGGAGGAGAAUUACGGUCUCCUGACCUCGCUGGGUAAAGCUCAACCCUCCUCCUUUUCCUGGGUAUUGUGUGCGCUCUGAGAUGCCCAGGGCCUCUUCUAGAUGCCGGGACACCACUGAGGAUCAGCAGCAGCAGAAAGGAGCAAAUCACUGAUUUCAUGAGGGGAAAGGGGUUACUGCGAUCCAGGCACAGUAUUGCCCUAAGGCAAGUGAUUGGAGAGACGUCCAGGCUGCUCACGUAUUGGCUGAGAAAUAAGGCUUUGCAGGGAUCAAACUGAACAUUUUAUCCCAAAUGGAGCAGGUGGGAGCACCAUGGGCCAAGGAUCAGCAGGACUCGCUGGAAGAAGAAAGCUCAGAAAUCCCCUCCUUCGCACAGGGCUGCCCGGGCCAGGAGAGAGGUGUGUGUGAGAAGAGCUACAAGGAGAAGAUCCACCUGAAGCGUCAUGAGACCCUCCACUUCCGGAGGAAGCCGUUCAAGUGCAGGAAGUGCUUCCUGCAGACGUGGGAGCUGACGAUGCACCAGAGGACCCACACAGCUCCUGGGAUCCCCAGUCACAGACCCCAUUGUGCCAGGAGCUGUGCAGACGCAGAACAAAAAGACCCGCAGAGCUGAUGAGCAACAGGUAUUCUCCUAAGGCGUUUAGCUGGCCCCCAUCCCUGUCUUAUUGGAGCACCUCACAACUAACAAUGUUUAUCCUCACAGCGCCCCCAUGAGGCUGGGAAGUGCUAUUGUCCCCAGUCUGCAGAUCUGAGGGCACAGAGAGGGUCGGUGACUUGCCCAAUGCCACCCGUGAAAUUUAUGCCUGAUUAGGGACCUGAACAUGGGUCUCUCGAAUCACACCCGGCCCACUGGGCCAUCCUGCCCCUUACGGAGAGCUCACAAGCACUUCUGUAGAAGAUGUUAUAGUUGGUUAUGAGCAACUUGUUGACCUGUUGGAUUCUUUUAACAAUUGAUGACCCAUUUUUUCAAACCUUUUAAUCAUUUAUUAAUACAUUUUAUAAACUGUUGGUAAAUGGAACUUCAGUAUAAAGCAUAAGCAACUUUCUCAUAAUUGUGUACUGUAGCCUAUAGGACUAACCUGCUUGCUUGUGUGUAUCUAUCUAUCUAUCUUUUCUUAUAGUUUAAGUAUUUGGGUUUAUUGUAAUAGGUUUAUAGAUUUAUAUUAAAGUAAGUUUGGUUGUAAUGCAAGAGACCGACAGGCCAUAGCCUGUAUGUUAAGCUAAGGCAAAGUUAGUAUACCUAUAUUAAGACCUUUUACUCAGAAAGCAAAGUUGACCUAUAUCUUGUUACCUAAAUAGAUGAGUACCCAUGCCUAUGUCCAUGACCUUUUAUGUAGACCAAUAGACAAUGGAGAAUGGCAUAGAGGAGUUUUCAAUGUUAUACCCACAGACUUAACAAGUCCAUCACAAAAGACUGAUGUGCGUACAUACCUGUCAUCAAUACGCACAUACAUAUUAGCCUAUGGGGUAAGUGUACCCUAACAUUUCUAUGGGUGAGGAAUGAAAUUUGGGCAUAAGAGGAAGGAUUUCCGGCAUUUGCCCUAUAAAAGAGGUGACCCACCUCGAUAGAGUACUCCAUCUCCAUUCUCACUUUACUCCAUCUCCAUUCUCACUUACUUCCUCCACUCUAUUCUAUCUAUCUACGAUGGCUACUACUAUCAGUAGGCUGUACUUGGUCUUCUUAAACUUUAAGUUGAAAGGGAACUAGGCUAAGCUUGGUUUCCCUAAGUUUUACUCAAUUUAUUCAGUUUUGAUUUUAAGUUUAAAUUAGUCAAGUAAACCCUAAGUUCGCUUUAGUAGCUCGUGGAAUUAGUUUCUUCUAAGCACUGCAUCCCUCACUCGAGAAUUGUGAAACCUGAACUGCAAAGCUGUU
Mauremys mutica (yellowpond turtle) is the source of this 2517-nucleotide long non-coding RNA. RefSeq lists it as uncharacterized. Lineage: Eukaryota; Metazoa; Chordata; Testudines; Geoemydidae. The transcript has 6 exons. The record is from RefSeq and is a predicted model, not a curated record.